Molecule: ribosomal RNA, 467 nt
Filed under: uncultured bacterium
Lineage: Bacteria
Description: partial 16S ribosomal RNA
Rfam family: Bacterial small subunit ribosomal RNA
Source: RNAcentral
GAUGAACGCUGGCGGCGUGCUUAACACAUGCAAGUCGAACGGUGAAGCAGAGCUUGCUCUGUGGAUCAGUGGCGAACGGGUGAGUAACACGUGAGCAACCUGCCCCUGACUCUGGGAUAAGCGCUGGAAACGGCGUCUAAUACUGGAUAUGAGCUGCGACCGCAUGGUCAGCAGUUGGAAAGAUUUUUCGGUCUGGGAUGGGCUCACGGCCUAUCAGCUUGUUGGUGAGGUAAUGGCUCACCAAGGCGUCGACGGGUAGCCGGCCUGAGAGGGUGACCGGCCACACUGGGACUGAGACACGGCCCAGACUCCUACGGGAGGCAGCAGUGGGGAAUAUUGCACAAUGGGCGAAAGCCUGAUGCAGCAACGCCGCGUGAGGGAUGACGGCCUUCGGGCUGUAAACCUCUUUUAGCAGGGAAGAAGCGAAAGUGACGGUACCUGCAGAAAAAGCGCCGGCUAACUACGUG